GAUGAACGCUGGCGGCGUGCUUAACACAUGCAAGUCGAGCGAUUUUCUUCGGAAGAGAGCGGCGGACGGGUGAGUAACGCGUGGGUAACCUACCCUGUACACACGGAUAACAUACCGAAAGGUAUGCUAAUACGGGAUAAUGUAUGAAAGUCGCAUGGCUUUUGUAUCAAAGCUCCGGCGGUACAGGAUGGACCCGCGUCUGAUUAGCUAGUUGGUAAGGUAACGGCUUACCAAGGCAACGAUCAGUAGCCGACCUGAGAGGGUGAUCGGCCACACUGGAACUGAGACACGGUCCAGACUCCUACGGGAGGCAG
Molecule: ribosomal RNA, 314 nt
Filed under: uncultured Bacillota bacterium
Lineage: Bacteria; Bacillati; Bacillota
Description: bacterial SSU rRNA
Rfam family: Bacterial small subunit ribosomal RNA
Source: RNAcentral